GAGAGAGAGAGAGAGAGCAAGAGAAAGAGAACAAAGGAAAUUCGACCGAGCGCGUGAUUUCUGGCAAGCAAGAGAAGGCGAAUUUCAAUCAGAGAUUACGAAUCACAAACACGAUACAGAAUGCUGGGAAAAGGACUUAAAAUAAAAUCCGGAAAGAAGAGUGGAAGCAAAGCAUCAGGACAGAAUAAAAAUAAAGGAAAACGACUACGAAUAAUCUGUAGAACGCGUCAUGAAGGACAACUGGACACAAAAAAUUUUGAUGAGUAUAUGAGGUUGAUUUUGAAGAUUAUACCAGAAGAAAGGAAGACAGGAUGUUCGUUUUUCGACCCUAUGUUCUUCAUAUCAUAUAUGGAUGCAGUUAAAAAGGCAAAGAAAAAAGAUUGUACUGCAAUUGAGAAAAGCAAUGUGUGGAAGUGGAU
Long non-coding RNA from Daucus carota subsp. sativus, 419 nucleotides. RefSeq lists it as uncharacterized. The record is from RefSeq and is a predicted model, not a curated record. The transcript has 3 exons. NCBI's taxonomy places the organism in Eukaryota, Viridiplantae, Streptophyta, Magnoliopsida, Apiales, Apiaceae.